This 164-nucleotide ribosomal RNA is filed under the name Eleutherococcus divaricatus var. flavi-flos. Its description in RNAcentral is "5.8S ribosomal RNA". It matches the Rfam family "5.8S ribosomal RNA". From Rfam's summary of the family: 5.8S ribosomal RNA (5.8S rRNA) is a component of the large subunit of the eukaryotic ribosome. It is transcribed by RNA polymerase I as part of the 45S precursor that also contains 18S and 28S rRNA. The record is from RNAcentral. Lineage: Eukaryota; Viridiplantae; Streptophyta; Magnoliopsida; Apiales; Araliaceae.
AACGACUCUCGGCAACGGAUAUGACUCGGCUCUCGCAUCGAUGAAGAACGUAGCGAAAUGCGAUACUUGGUGUGAAUUGCAGAAUCCCGUGAACCAUCGAGUCUUUGAACGCAAGUUGCGCCCGAAGCCAUUAGGCUGAGGGCACGUCUGCCUGGGCGUCACGC